CCUACGGGAGGCAGCAGUAGGGAAUAUUGCUCAAUGGGGGAAACCCUGAAGCAGCAACGCCGCGUGGAGGAUGACGGUCCUAGGAUUGUAAACUCUUUUUGUUAGAGAAGAUUAUGAUGGCACCUAACGAAUAAUCACCGGCCAAUUCCGUUCCGGCAGCCGCGGUUAUACGCAGGGUGCAAGCUUUACUCGGAAUGACUGGGCGUAAAGAGUGCGUAGGGGGGGUAAUAAGUCAGAUGUGAAAUCCUGUGGCUUAACUACAGAACUGCAUUUGAAACUGUUACUCUGGAGUGUGGGAGAGGUAGGUGGAAUUCUUGGUGUAGGGGUAAAAUGCGUAGAGAUCAAGAGGAAUACUCAUUGCGAAGGCGGCCUGCUGGAACAUUACUGACGCUGAUGCACGAAAGCGUGGGGAGCAAACAGGAUUAGAUACCCGAGUAGUC
RNAcentral lists this ribosomal RNA (440 nucleotides) under uncultured bacterium. Its description in RNAcentral is "partial 16S ribosomal RNA". It matches the Rfam family "Bacterial small subunit ribosomal RNA", at positions 338 to 795 of the family's 1533-position model. The record is from RNAcentral.